RNAcentral lists this ribosomal RNA (681 nucleotides) under Vibrio parahaemolyticus. RNAcentral's name for it is "bacterial SSU rRNA". It matches the Rfam family "Bacterial small subunit ribosomal RNA", at positions 1 to 661 of the family's 1533-position model. Lineage: Bacteria; Pseudomonadati; Pseudomonadota; Gammaproteobacteria; Vibrionales; Vibrionaceae. The record is from RNAcentral.
AAAUUGAAGAGUUUGAUCAUGGCUCAGAUUGAACGCUGGCGGCAGGCCUAACACAUGCAAGUCGAGCGGAAACGAGUUAUCAGAACCUUCGGGGAACGAUAACGGCGUCGAGCGGCGGACGGGUGAGUAAUGCCUAGGAAAUUGCCCUGAUGUGGGGGAUAACCAUUGGAAACGAUGGCUAAUACCGCAUGAUGCCUACGGGCCAAAGAGGGGGACCUUCGGGCCUCUCGCGUCAGGAUAUGCCUAGGUGGGAUUAGCUAGUUGGUGAGGUAAGGGCUCACCAAGGCGACGAUCCCUAGCUGGUCUGAGAGGAUGAUCAGCCACACUGGAACUGAGACACGGUCCAGACUCCUACGGGAGGCAGCAGUGGGGAAUAUUGCACAAUGGGCGCAAGCCUGAUGCAGCCAUGCCGCGUGUGUGAAGAAGGCCUUCGGGUUGUAAAGCACUUUCAGUCGUGAGGAAGGUAGUGUAGUUAAUAGCUGCAUUAUUUGACGUUAGCGACAGAAGAAGCACCGGCUAACUCCGUGCCAGCAGCCGCGGUAAUACGGAGGGUGCGAGCGUUAAUCGGAAUUACUGGGCGUAAAGCGCAUGCAGGUGGUUUGUUAAGUCAGAUGUGAAAGCCCGGGGCUCAACCUCGGAAUUGCAUUUGAAACUGGCAGACUAGAGUACUGUAGAGGGGGG